Molecule: ribosomal RNA, 634 nt
Filed under: Stenotrophomonas sp. So2Pw_1274
Lineage: Bacteria; Pseudomonadati; Pseudomonadota; Gammaproteobacteria; Lysobacterales; Lysobacteraceae
Description: bacterial SSU rRNA
Rfam family: Bacterial small subunit ribosomal RNA
Source: RNAcentral
AGCCUGAUCCAGCCAUACCGCGUGGGUGAAGAAGGCCUUCGGGUUGUAAAGCCCUUUUGUUGGGAAAGAAAAGCAGUCGGCUAAUACCCGGUUGUUCUGACGGUACCCAAAGAAUAAGCACCGGCUAACUUCGUGCCAGCAGCCGCGGUAAUACGAAGGGUGCAAGCGUUACUCGGAAUUACUGGGCGUAAAGCGUGCGUAGGUGGUUGUUUAAGUCUGUUGUGAAAGCCCUGGGCUCAACCUGGGAAUUGCAGUGGAUACUGGGCGACUAGAGUGUGGUAGAGGGUAGUGGAAUUCCCGGUGUAGCAGUGAAAUGCGUAAAGAUCGGGAGGAACAUCCAUGGCGAAGGCAGCUACCUGGACCAACACUGACACUGAGGCACGAAAGCGUGGGGAGCAAACAGGAUUAGAUACCCUGGUAGUCCACGCCCUAAACGAUGCGAACUGGAUGUUGGGUGCAAUUUGGCACGCAGUAUCGAAGCUAACGCGUUAAGUUCGCCGCCUGGGGAGUACGGUCGCAAGACUGAAACUCAAAGGAAUUGACGGGGGCCCGCACAAGCGGUGGAGUAUGUGGUUUAAUUCGAUGCAACGCGAAGAACCUUACCUGGUCUUGACAUGUCGAGAACUUUCCAGAG